Molecule: ribosomal RNA, 509 nt
Filed under: uncultured bacterium
Lineage: Bacteria
Description: partial 16S ribosomal RNA
Rfam family: Bacterial small subunit ribosomal RNA
Source: RNAcentral
AUUGAACGCUGGCGGAAUGCCUAACACAUGCAAGUCGAACGGCAGCACAAUAAGUAGCAAUACUUAUGGGUGGCGAGUGGCGGACGGGUGCGUAACGUGUAGGGAUCUGCCCUGAAGUGGGGGACAACCCGGGGAAACUCGGGCUAAGACCGCAUAAUACUCUACGGAGGAAAUCUGGCUUCGCAAGAAGCUGGAGCUUUAGGAUGAACCUACAUCCGAUUAGCUAGUUGGUGAGGUAAUGGCUCACCAAGGCGAUGAUCGGUAGCUGGUCUGAGAGGAUGACCAGCCACACUGGGACUGAGACGCGGCCCAGACUCCUACGGGAGGCAGCAGUGGGGAAUAUUGGACAAUGGGGGAAACCCUGAUCCAGCAAUUCCGCGUGGGUGAAGAAGGCCUUCGGGUUGUAAAGCCCUUUAGGCGGGGAAGAAGGUUCUAGGGCGAUAAACCUUAGAAUUUGACGGUACCCGCAGAAUAAGCACCGGCUAACUCUGUGCCAGCCGCCGCAGUAA